GGGCAGCCCCGCCAGGCGGGGACCUGGCCGCCGGUGAAAUACCACUACUCUGAUUGUUUUUUCACUUACCUGGUGAGGCGGGGGGGCGAGCCCCAAGGGGGGCUCUCACUUCUGGUGCCAAGCGCGCGACCCGCUCCGGGGACAGCGGCAGGUGGGGAGUUUGACUGGGGCAGUACACCUGUCAAAGCGUAAUGCAGGUGUCCUAGAGUGAGCUCAGGGAGGACGGAAACCUCCCGUGGAGCAGAAGGGCAAAAGCUCGCUUGAUCUUGAUUUUCAGUAUGAAUACAGACCGUGAAAGCAGGGACUCACAAUCCUUCUGGCUUUUUGGGUUUUCAGCAGGAGGUGUCAGAAAAGUUACCACAGGGAUAACUGGCUUGUAGCGGCCAAGCAUU
Long non-coding RNA from Calypte anna (Anna's hummingbird), 392 nucleotides. RefSeq lists it as uncharacterized. The record is from RefSeq and is a predicted model, not a curated record. Lineage: Eukaryota; Metazoa; Chordata; Aves; Apodiformes; Trochilidae. The transcript has 3 exons.